UGGGGAAUAUUGCACAAUGGGGAAACCCUGAUGCAGCGACGCCGCGUGAAGGAAGAAGUAUCUCGGUAUGUAAAGCUCUAUCAGCAGGGAAGAAAAUGACGGUACCUGACUAAGAAGCCCCGGCUAACUACGUGCCAGCAGCCGCGGUAAUACGUAGGGGGCAAGCGUUAUCCGGAUUUACUGGGUGUAAAGGGAGCGUAGACGGAUAGGCAAGUCUGGAGUGAAAACCCAGGGCUCAACCCUGGGACUGCUUUGGAAACUGCAGAUCUGGAGUGCCGGAGAGGUAAGCGGAAUUCCUAGCGUAGCGGUGAAAUGCGUAGAUAUUAGGAGGAACACCAGUGGCGAAGGCGGCUUACUGGACGGUGACUGACGUUGAGGCUCGAAAGCGUGGGGAGCAAACAGGAUUAGAUACCC
RNAcentral lists this ribosomal RNA (414 nucleotides) under uncultured bacterium. Its description in RNAcentral is "bacterial SSU rRNA". It matches the Rfam family "Bacterial small subunit ribosomal RNA", at positions 355 to 787 of the family's 1533-position model. The record is from RNAcentral.